Molecule: small RNA, 102 nt
Filed under: Marmota monax (woodchuck)
Lineage: Eukaryota; Metazoa; Chordata; Mammalia; Rodentia; Sciuridae
Source: RNAcentral
GCUGGGUGUGUUGGUGCACAUCUGUAAUCCCAGCUACUUGAGAGGCUAAAUCAGGAGGAUCACAAGUUCAAGGCCAUCCUCAACUGUGAAAUCCUGCUUCAA